AUGCUUCUCCUAAAGACUAAGCCAUGCAUGUCUUCGAAUAAGAGGUAAGCAAUUCUCUCUGAAUCUGCGAACGGCUCCGCAAACCAGUUGUAAGCUAUGGCAAGGAUGCUCGUCGAAACCGGGUUUCGCCGCCCGGUAAGUAGGCGGGCGACAGGGAUACCCCUGGUAAUCCUGAGGCUAAUACUUGAACGUACCCCCUGGCAGCUCUCGUAGCGGCCGGGGACCGUGCGAUCAUCCAAAGCGGUGGGAAACCACCCGGGAAAGGGCGCAUAGUCAAACCGCGGCAAAAAAAGGUUUGGUGGAGUCCUCGAGGCCUUCGGGCCCCGGGGCGAAGCCUUUCCUCGCGGGUCUUGCAUUGCGCUUCUGACCUAUCAACUGUAUAGCAGUGUAAGGGACAUGCUAUGGUUACAACGGGUACAGAGGAUUAGGGUUCGAUCCUGGAGAGUGGGCCUGAGAGAUUGCUCACACUUCUAAGGAAGGCAGCAGGCGCGUAACGUUCCCAUUGGGCAAUGCCCGAGGGCGUUAGGGGAAAUAUGAAUGCCUGCCUUUCGGUGGGCAAUUCAAAUGGGUC
RNAcentral lists this ribosomal RNA (571 nucleotides) under Physarum cinereum. RNAcentral describes it as "SSU rRNA". It matches the Rfam family "Eukaryotic small subunit ribosomal RNA", at positions 28 to 520 of the family's 1831-position model. Lineage: Eukaryota; Evosea; Eumycetozoa; Physariida; Physaraceae. The record is from RNAcentral.